RNAcentral lists this ribosomal RNA (253 nucleotides) under uncultured bacterium. RNAcentral describes it as "partial 16S ribosomal RNA". It matches the Rfam family "Bacterial small subunit ribosomal RNA", at positions 524 to 776 of the family's 1533-position model. The record is from RNAcentral.
UACGUAGGGUGCAAGCGUUAAUCGGAAUUACUGGGCGUAAAGCGUGCGCAGGCGGUUUUGUAAGUCUGUCGUGAAAGCCCCGGGCUCAACCUGGGAAUUGCGUUGGAGACUGCAAGGCUAGAAUCUGGCAGAGGGGGGUAGAAUUCCACGUGUAGCAGUGAAAUGCGUAGAGAUGUGGAGGAACACCUAUGGCGAAGGCAGCCCCCUGGGUCAAGAUUGACGCUCAUGCACGAAAGCGUGGGGAGCAAACAGG